Transfer RNA from Sus scrofa (pig), 73 nucleotides. It matches the Rfam family "tRNA". Rfam says of the family: Transfer RNA (tRNA) molecules are approximately 80 nucleotides in length. The record is from Rfam. Lineage: Eukaryota; Metazoa; Chordata; Mammalia; Artiodactyla; Suidae.
UCCCCGGUGGUCUAAUGGUUAGAACUCAGUGCUUACACCACUGUGGCCCCAGGUUCAAACCCUGGUCUGGGAA